GUGGGGAAUAUUGGACAAUGGGGGGAACCCUGAUCCAGCCAUGCCGCGUGUGUGAAGAAGGCCUUUUGGUUGUAAAGCACUUUAAGCGAGGAGGAGGCUACUCUAGUUAAUACCUAGGGAUAGUGGACGUUACUCGCAGAAUAAGCAACGGCUAACUCUGUGCCAGCAGCCGCGGUAAUACAGAGGGUGCAAGCGUUACUCGGAUUUACUGGGCGUAAAGCGCGCGUAGGUGGCCAAUUAAGUCAAAUGUGAAAUCACCGAGCUUAACUUGGGAAGUGCAUUCGAUACUGGUUGGCUAGAGUAUGGGAGAGGAUGGUAGAAUUCCAGGUGUAGCGGUGAAAUGCGUAGAGAUCUGGAGGAAUACCGAUGGCGAAGGCAGCCAUCUGGCCUAAUACUGACACUGAGGUGCGAAAGCAUGGGGAGCAAACAGGAUUAGAAACCCGGGUAGUCC
RNAcentral lists this ribosomal RNA (451 nucleotides) under uncultured bacterium. RNAcentral's name for it is "partial 16S ribosomal RNA". It matches the Rfam family "Bacterial small subunit ribosomal RNA", at positions 354 to 796 of the family's 1533-position model. The record is from RNAcentral.